Molecule: long non-coding RNA, 537 nt
Organism: Coregonus clupeaformis (lake whitefish)
Lineage: Eukaryota; Metazoa; Chordata; Actinopteri; Salmoniformes; Salmonidae
Exons: 3
Source: RefSeq, a predicted model, not a curated record
AGCAGACACAAACCUACAACUGAGAUAACAGCAGACGUUACAACCGUAGAAGUUACAACCGUAGAAGUUACAACAGUUGAAGUUACGACAGUAGAAGUUAGAACCGUAUAAGUUACAACAGUAGAAGUUACAACAGUAGACGUUACAAGAGAAGAAGUUACAACAGUAGAAGUUACAACAGUAGACGUUACAAGAGAAGAAGUUACAAAAAACCUAAUGAAAUAAAGACCAUGGAUAUUGAUGAUCAUAUAUACACCAACGAAACACCCAUCAAGCCCUGCAGGAAGGAUGGAGUUGGUGAUCAACUAUCAGUGUUUUAUCAGUGGUGGAAGAGAUACUCUGGAGCUGCUGCAGUGAGUCUGGGUCUGCUGUGUGUUCUCCUAUUGGCUGGGAUCAUAGGCCUGUUGCUCUACCAGAGAAACCAAUUGACCAGUUCCAACACCCUGACCAAAGAUAGAGAUCAGUUACAGACCAGCAACAACACCCUGACCAAAGAGAGAGACCAGCUACAGACCAGAUACAACACCCUGACCAAAG